GAUGAACGCUGGCGGCGUGCCUAAUACAUGCAAGUCGAGCGAACAGAUGAGGAGCUUGCUCCUCUGACGUUAGCGGCGGACGGGUGAGUAACACGUGGAUAACCUACCUAUAAGACUGGGAUAACUUCGGGAAACCGGAGCUAAUACCGGAUAAUAUAUUGAACCGCAUGGUUCAAUAGUGAAAGACGGUUUUGCUGUCACUUAUAGAUGGAUCCGCGCCGCAUUAGCUAGUUGGUAAGGUAACGGCUUACCAAGGCGACGAUGCGUAGCCGACCUGAGAGGGUGAUCGGCCACACUGGAACUGAGACACGGUCUAGACUCCUACGGGAGGCAGCAGUAGGGAAUCUUCCGCAAUGGGCGAAAGCCUGACGGAGCAACGCCGCGUGAGUGAUGAAGGUCUUCGGAUCGUAAAACUCUGUUAUUAGGGAAGAACAAAUGUGUAAGUAACUAUGCACGUCUUGACGGUACCUAAUCAGAAAGCCACGGCUAACUACGUG
Molecule: ribosomal RNA, 497 nt
Filed under: uncultured bacterium
Lineage: Bacteria
Description: partial 16S ribosomal RNA
Rfam family: Bacterial small subunit ribosomal RNA
Source: RNAcentral